RNAcentral lists this ribosomal RNA (422 nucleotides) under uncultured bacterium. RNAcentral's name for it is "bacterial SSU rRNA". It matches the Rfam family "Bacterial small subunit ribosomal RNA", at positions 917 to 1341 of the family's 1533-position model. The record is from RNAcentral.
GGGCCCGCACAAGCGGUGGAGCAUGUGGUUUAAUUCGAUGAUACGCGAGGAACCUUACCUAGGCUUAAAUGUAUAUUGACAGAUUGGGAAACCAGUCCUUCUUCGGACAAUUUACAAGGUGCUGCAUGGUUGUCGUCAGCUCGUGCUGUGAGGUGUCGGGUUAAGUCCCAUAACGAGCGCAACCCCUAUCCUUAGUUGCCAGCGAGUAAUGUCGGGGACUCUAGGGAAACUGCCGGUGCAAACCGUGAGGAAGGUGGGGAUGACGUCAAAUCAUCACGGCCCUUACGUCUAGGGCUACACACGUGCUACAAUGGCAUAUACAAAGGGCAGCUACUUGGUGACAAGAUGCUAAUCUCACAAAACCGGUCGUAGUCCGGAUUGCAGUCUGCAACUCGACUGCAUGAAGCUGGAAUCGCUAGUAA